UACGUAGGGUCCGAGCGUUGUCCGGAAUUAUUGGGCGUAAAGGGCUCGUAGGCGGUCUGUUGCGUCGGGAGUGAAAACUUACAGCUUAACUGUGAGCGUGCUUUCGAUACGGGCAGACUUGAGGCAUUCAGGGGAGAACGGAAUUCCUGGUGUAGCGGUGAAAUGCGCAGAUAUCAGGAGGAACACCGGUGGCGAAGGCGGCAUCCUGGACCGGCAUUGACGCUGAGGAGCGAAAGCCAGGGGAGCAAACGGG
Molecule: ribosomal RNA, 253 nt
Filed under: uncultured bacterium
Lineage: Bacteria
Description: partial 16S ribosomal RNA
Rfam family: Bacterial small subunit ribosomal RNA
Source: RNAcentral